This 1215-nucleotide long non-coding RNA is filed under the name Nicotiana benthamiana. RNAcentral describes it as "long non-coding RNA (NBEN_LNC027014)". The record is from RNAcentral. Lineage: Eukaryota; Viridiplantae; Streptophyta; Magnoliopsida; Solanales; Solanaceae.
GACAACAUACACAAAAAAUACACCCUAGACCUAUACACACAAGAGUGAGCGCCGUUACAAAGGGACCUGAUCUUUUUCAUUACUCUCUAAGAAACCAGCCACUGAGAACACAAACAAUAGACCCUUCAGCCGUGACCCAUCUCCAAAUCCCUGUAUUUUUCUUCAAACUUGAGAGAACACAAACCCUAGGGACCUAGACAGCCAUAGAACACGACUUUCCCCCAUCGACACCGAUCUUCUUCUUCGUCCUCAAGAACCAAAAAGAACACAAACCAGCCCCCCAGAACUUGAGCUUCUUCUUCACAAAACAACGUUGGGGUUCUUCUUCAUGAAGGACUAACCUAAAAACCUACAUGAAACAAGAUCAACAACCAUAUCCAUGAAGCCAAAUCUUUUUCUUCUCUAUUGACAUAGCUAAAAAAAAUGACAGAAAGUAGCGCUUUCCAUUGAAUUUGACGACUCAACAUUGAAUCCGGCAAAUGCUACAGAUCAUGUCGCUCUCCUAUCUCGCCCUUUCUCUCUCGUUUCUCACUGCUAUAUCGCCGUUUGUUGAUGCCGAUCGAAGUGUUGUCCACUGUUUCCGUUUAAGUUCGAGUUGUUACAUCUCUGUGGUUGUUUAUUUUGAAUCUCAGUGUUCAUUUGUUUGUAUAUACUUUCUAAAUAGAGACAUAAUAUUAAAAGCAUAUCAAGUUGUUCAUUUUGAAGACAUUUUCUUUGUGGGUUUAGGUUACCUUCCCAUAUUGUUGAGCUUCUGAGUAGCCUUAGGAGAUAUUGAUGAAGUUUUGUUGUAGGGAUUACGUUUUGCAUGCAGUUUACUUGCCAAAGUUUGAUAUUAUGUAAUGGUAAGGACUAAAAAUGUUAUUUUCCUUCAAUCUCAAUGUGAAGCGGAUGAUUGACUACUACGCUCUUUGGACAAUUUCAUUUUGCACGGGAAGAGAAGUAGAUUUGAAAUUUUGAACUAACUUUGAAAUUUUAAACUAAGUUGAAGAAGCAGCAGCUGUAUCUGGUACUUGAGCCAUCUCCCUCAUCCCUUUUUCCCGUCAUCGUGCUAUAUGACGAAGUCGACGGAGGUGACUAACAAAUGAAGGGAAGUGUUUGGGAAAUUUGUCGUUUUGAUAUUAGUUGUGUUUUUUAAAUUUGUAGAAGCUUCAAUUCUAGAGGAGGUAUUUGAUAGAUUUUAACAAAUGGGAAAUCUUUAUCAAGGAUGGGUUGACU